UGAGGAAUAUUGGUCAAUGGGCGAAAGCCUGAACCAGCCAUGCCGCGUGCAGGAAGACGGUCCUAUGGAUUGUAAACUGCUUUUAUUUGGGAAUAAACUCUGAUACGUGUAUCAGCCUGAAGGUACCAAAUGAAUAAGCACCGGCUAACUCCGUGCCAGCAGCCGCGGUAAUACGGAGGGUGCAAGCGUUAUCCGGAAUCAUUGGGUUUAAAGGGUCCGCAGGCGGUCAUAUAAGUCAGUGGUGAAAGCCUACAGCUCAACUGUAGAACUGCCAUUGAUACUGUAUGACUUGAAUUCGAUCGAAGUGGGCGGAAUAUGACAUGUAGCGGUGAAAUGCUUAGAUAUGUCAUAGAACACCGAUAGCGAAGGCAGCUCACUAGGUCUGGAUUGACGCUCAGGGACGAAAGCGUGGGGAGCAAACA
RNAcentral lists this ribosomal RNA (422 nucleotides) under uncultured Fluviicola sp. RNAcentral describes it as "bacterial SSU rRNA". It matches the Rfam family "Bacterial small subunit ribosomal RNA", at positions 355 to 774 of the family's 1533-position model. Lineage: Bacteria; Pseudomonadati; Bacteroidota; Flavobacteriia; Flavobacteriales; Crocinitomicaceae. The record is from RNAcentral.